UGGAAACCCAUGUGUGUUUGCCAUGUU
This 27-nucleotide small RNA is filed under the name Bombyx mori (domestic silkworm). Its description in RNAcentral is "ovarian small RNA-34366". The record is from RNAcentral. Lineage: Eukaryota; Metazoa; Arthropoda; Insecta; Lepidoptera; Bombycidae.